Molecule: non-coding RNA, 104 nt
Filed under: Sporolactobacillus inulinus
Lineage: Bacteria; Bacillati; Bacillota; Bacilli; Caryophanales; Sporolactobacillaceae
Also listed under: 1 other name
Description: SAM-I sequence
Rfam family: SAM riboswitch aptamer (S box leader)
About the family: The SAM riboswitch is found upstream of a number of genes which code for proteins involved in methionine or cysteine biosynthesis in Gram-positive bacteria.
Source: Rfam by way of RNAcentral
UUCUUAUCAAGAGCGGGGGAGGGACUGGUCCAAUGAACCCCGACAACCAGCAUUUGCACGAUGUAUGGUGUCACAUCCAGCAGAUUCAUUCUGAGAGAUAAGAA